GAAGAACUUAGAAACCCACCCGUGGGUAGCCCAAGUGGUAAGAGUGAACUUAUGUGCAUGAGCCCCAUGUCACAGGUUCGAUUCCUUCUAGGAUCAAAUUGUGAUUUAAGUGGGAGUUCAUGGGAGGCCUGAGUUGUUGUGUUAGUCUCCCCGAGCAUUUAGGUUCCAUGCAUGAGUCCUAAGGGCUCUGCCGUGAGGUGGUCCCCCAUCAUAAAAAAAAAAGGUAAGAAGAAGAGCUUAGAAGGGAAGAAAAGCACAAA
This is a long non-coding RNA of Juglans microcarpa x Juglans regia, 260 nucleotides long. RefSeq lists it as uncharacterized. The record is from RefSeq and is a predicted model, not a curated record. NCBI's taxonomy places the organism in Eukaryota, Viridiplantae, Streptophyta, Magnoliopsida, Fagales, Juglandaceae. The transcript is spliced from 3 exons.